GCGGGAGUAACUCAACGGUCAGAGUGCAACCUUCCCAAGGUUGAAGUUGCGGGUUCGAUUCCCGUCUCCCGCUCCA
RNAcentral lists this transfer RNA (76 nucleotides) under Candidatus Dormiibacterota bacterium. Its description in RNAcentral is "tRNA-Gly". It matches the Rfam family "tRNA". Rfam says of the family: Transfer RNA (tRNA) molecules are approximately 80 nucleotides in length. Lineage: Bacteria; Bacillati; Candidatus Dormiibacterota. The record is from RNAcentral.